GAACAAUUGCAUUCUUGCUCGUUAUCAUCAUUAAAUACAAGAACUCACACAAGGUGCAUUGUCGAGAACGGCAGUAAUUUAGCGCGAUUUAAGGCAGCAGACCGCGCACAAUCAAUCAUAUGCAUGCUACUUGUGGAUACAGUCACUUUUUCACUGCAAAUGAUGAGGUAAUCUGAUUAAAUGUACUGGAUUUACGACAUUUUGGCAAUUAGAAAUACAUGCUUGAUUGUGACCUCACGUACCCCAGUUUGGGAACCACUGGUUUACAGCAUUAGAUUUUUUUUUCCUCCCCAAAGAGAAAAUGUUAAUUGAAUUUAUUUAAAGAGAGAGACACUAUUUGUUCAAUAAACCACUGUUUAAUAAAAAAAGAAGAAAAAAGAAGCAAUUUUAUGUUUAGCUUUCUCCUCCUUCUAUACCGAACCGUGACUGCAGUACUGAGGUGUGUACCGAACCGUCAUGUUACCAUUGUGUACCAUUACACCCCUAAUACAUAAGAUAUGUGUUGAUAUAGUUAUUUUUGCGAGUGUUUUCUUUACAUUCUGUCUUUUUAGGGCUGAUUUGUGUUUAUCAAAUAUGAUUUUAUUAGCUACACAUUCAACUUGCCUCAGAGACAGCGAAUGCAGAACUAAUAUGAAAAGAAGAGGUCACAACUGAAGCACUAAAAGCAUAACUAGACGAAAAUCCCCCCCCCCC
Megalobrama amblycephala (Wuchang bream) is the source of this 693-nucleotide long non-coding RNA. RefSeq lists it as uncharacterized. The record is from RefSeq and is a predicted model, not a curated record. Lineage: Eukaryota; Metazoa; Chordata; Actinopteri; Cypriniformes; Xenocyprididae. The transcript is spliced from 2 exons.